AUGGACCAGAGACCAAUUAGUGAUGAUACAGUUCGGCGUCGACUAAAAUUUCGUAACCUUAGUUGUUGUCGUCCUGCCAGAGGACCUAAUCUCACACCACGUCACCGCCGAGAACGACUACAGUGGGCCACCCAUCGACAAAAUUGGAGACAUCAGCAGUGGAAAACUGUUAUCUUUUCAGACGAAAACCGUUACUGCAUUUCAGAUGCAGAUGGCAGGACACGGAUCUGGAUAAGACAGGGCGAAAGGUAUGCAGAUAACUGUAUGAUGCGGAGAGAUCAAUGGGGAGGUCCAACCAUUUUAAUAUGGGGCGGAAUCGGCUUGAACCAUAAAUUAGGGUCUGCUGUUUUCCAGAAUCUUGGACCAGGUAGAGGAAAUGAUGUUAAUGCAGUCCGUUAA
RNAcentral lists this small RNA (399 nucleotides) under Mytilus galloprovincialis (Mediterranean mussel). Lineage: Eukaryota; Metazoa; Mollusca; Bivalvia; Mytilida; Mytilidae. The record is from RNAcentral.